This 1159-nucleotide ribosomal RNA is filed under the name Escherichia coli. RNAcentral's name for it is "partial 23S ribosomal RNA". It matches the Rfam family "Bacterial large subunit ribosomal RNA", at positions 344 to 1510 of the family's 2925-position model. The record is from RNAcentral. Lineage: Bacteria; Pseudomonadati; Pseudomonadota; Gammaproteobacteria; Enterobacterales; Enterobacteriaceae.
GGAAAGGCGCGCGAUACAGGGUGACAGCCCCGUACACAAAAAUGCACAUGCUGUGAGCUCGAUGAGUAGGGCGGGACACGUGGUAUCCUGUCUGAAUAUGGGGGGACCAUCCUCCAAGGCUAAAUACUCCUGACUGACCGAUAGUGAACCAGUACCGUGAGGGAAAGGCGAAAAGAACCCCGGCGAGGGGAGUGAAAAAGAACCUGAAACCGUGUACGUACAAGCAGUGGGAGCACGCUUAGGCGUGUGACUGCGUACCUUUUGUAUAAUGGGUCAGCGACUUAUAUUCUGUAGCAAGGUUAACCGAAUAGGGGAGCCGAAGGGAAACCGAGUCUUAACUGGGCGUUAAGUUGCAGGGUAUAGACCCGAAACCCGGUGAUCUAGCCAUGGGCAGGUUGAAGGUUGGGUAACACUAACUGGAGGACCGAACCGACUAAUGUUGAAAAAUUAGCGGAUGACUUGUGGCUGGGGGUGAAAGGCCAAUCAAACCGGGAGAUAGCUGGUUCUCCCCGAAAGCUAUUUAGGUAGCGCCUCGUGAAUUCAUCUCCGGGGGUAGAGCACUGUUUCGGCAAGGGGGUCAUCCCGACUUACCAACCCGAUGCAAACUGCGAAUACCGGAGAAUGUUAUCACGGGAGACACACGGCGGGUGCUAACGUCCGUCGUGAAGAGGGAAACAACCCAGACCGCCAGCUAAGGUCCCAAAGUCAUGGUUAAGUGGGAAACGAUGUGGGAAGGCCCAGACAGCCAGGAUGUUGGCUUAGAAGCAGCCAUCAUUUAAAGAAAGCGUAAUAGCUCACUGGUCGAGUCGGCCUGCGCGGAAGAUGUAACGGGGCUAAACCAUGCACCGAAGCUGCGGCAGCGACGCUGAUGCGUUGUUGGGUAGGGGAGCGUUCUGUAAGCCUGCGAAGGUGUGCUGUGAGGCAUGCUGGAGGUAUCAGAAGUGCGAAUGCUGACAUAAGUAACGAUAAAGCGGGUGAAAAGCCCGCUCGCCGGAAGACCAAGGGUUCCUGUCCAACGUUAAUCGGGGCAGGGUGAGUCGACCCCUAAGGCGAGGCCGAAAGGCGUAGUCGAUGGGAAACAGGUUAAUAUUCCUGUACUUGGUGUUACUGCGAAGGGGGGACGGAGAAGGCUAUGUUGGCCGGGCGACGGUUGUCCCGG